CCUGAGUACGACGGAGCACGUGAAAUUCCGUCGGAAUCUGGGAGGACCAUCUCCUAAGGCUAAAUACUCUCUAGUGACCGAUAGUGAACCAGUACCGUGAGGGAAAGGUGAAAAGUACCCCGGAAGGGGAGUGAAAGAGAACUUGAAACCGUGUGCUUACAAGUAGUCAGAGCCCGUUAAUGGGUGAUGGCGUGCCUUUUGUAGAAUGAACCGGCGAGUUACGAUCUGAUGCAAGGUUAAGCAGAAAAUGUGGAGCCGUAGCGAAAGCGAGUCUGAAUAGGGCGAAUGAGUAUUUGGUCGUAGACCCGAAACCAGGUGAUCUACCCUUGGUCAGGUUGAAGUUCAGGUAACACUGAAUGGAGGACCGAACCGACUUACGUUGAAAAGUGAGCGGAUGAACUGAGGGUAGCGGAGAAAUUCCAAUCGAACUUGGAGAUAGCUGGUUCUCUCCGAAAUAGCUUUAGGGCUAGCCUCAAGUGAUGAUUAUUGGAGGUAGAGCACUGUUUGGACGAGGGGCCCCUCUCGGGUUACCGAAUUCAGACAAACUCCGAAUGCCAAAUAAUUUAACUUGGGAGUCAGAAUGUGGGUGAUAAGGUCCAUAUUCGAAAGGGAAACAGCCCAGACCACCAGCUAAGGUCCCAAAAUAUAUGUUAAGUGGAAAAGGAUGUGGCGUUGCCCAGACAACUAGGAUGUUGGCUUAGAAGCAGCCAUCAUUUAAAGAGUGCGUAAUAGCUCACUAGUCGAGUGACACUGCGCCGAAAAUGUACCGGGGCUAAACAUAUUACCGAAGCUGUGGAUUGUCCUUUGGACAAU
Molecule: ribosomal RNA, 813 nt
Filed under: Staphylococcus pseudintermedius
Lineage: Bacteria; Bacillati; Bacillota; Bacilli; Caryophanales; Staphylococcaceae
Description: partial 23S ribosomal RNA
Rfam family: Bacterial large subunit ribosomal RNA
Source: RNAcentral